CAGUAGCCGCGGUAAUACGGAGGGGGCUAGCGUUGUUCGGAAUUACUGGGCGUAAAGCGCACGUAGGCGGCUGUGUAAGUCAGAGGUGAAAGCCCGGGGCUCAACCCCGGAAUAGCCUUUGAAACUGCAUAGCUUGAACACGGGAGAGGUGAGUGGAAUUCCGAGUGUAGAGGUGAAAUUCGUAGAUAUUCGGAAGAACACCAGUGGCGAAGGCGGCUCACUGGACCGUUGUUGACGCUGAGGUGCGAAAGCGUGGGGAGCAAACAGGAUUAGAGACCCGUGUAGUCCCUGUCUCUUAUAC
Molecule: ribosomal RNA, 301 nt
Filed under: uncultured bacterium
Lineage: Bacteria
Description: partial 16S ribosomal RNA
Rfam family: Bacterial small subunit ribosomal RNA
Source: RNAcentral